RNAcentral lists this small RNA (124 nucleotides) under Marmota monax (woodchuck). Lineage: Eukaryota; Metazoa; Chordata; Mammalia; Rodentia; Sciuridae. The record is from RNAcentral.
GCCAGGUGUGGUGGCGCUUGCCUGUAAUCCCAGUGACUCAGGAGGCUGAGGCAGGAGGAUCACAAGUUCAAGGCCAGCCUCAGCAACUUACUGAGGCUUUCAGCAACUUAGUGAAACCCUGUAA